AGCACAUCCACGAUCAAGGAACUGGAAAAUGAGUAAGAAACUCAAGGCAUGCAAAGAACCUUAUUAAUAAUUAAUGGGUGAAAGAAGUUUCAUGGAUUUUGAAAGAAUCUUGCACAGUUGCAUAUAUUUAAUGGUUUAAAAAAAGUAGCGAUCAUGCAAUUCUGUGGUUUCCAAUAAUGACCUUUCCUUUUUCUAAAGCUUGAUGACUGGCGGUCCAAAACAUUAAAUUUUUUCCUAUAACCAACCAAAAUAAAAAAAGAGCAGUUUUAUCAAAUGUAAUCAGUUAUAAUAUCAAACUACAAUGUAAUAAAAUCAAAGCAGAACAAUUGUCUGGCCAAA
This 339-nucleotide unclassified non-coding RNA is filed under the name Hevea brasiliensis (rubber tree). The record is from RNAcentral. Lineage: Eukaryota; Viridiplantae; Streptophyta; Magnoliopsida; Malpighiales; Euphorbiaceae.